Molecule: long non-coding RNA, 1167 nt
Organism: Hyaena hyaena (striped hyena)
Lineage: Eukaryota; Metazoa; Chordata; Mammalia; Carnivora; Hyaenidae
Exons: 3
Source: RefSeq, a predicted model, not a curated record
UGUACCUUGUCUUUGGGGUUCCUCCUUGUGGGACCGGUUCUUGCCGAGCUUCAUGGCGGAGAACACGCUUCUCCCGGCUCUGCGAGGCGGGCCGCCAGAAUGAGGUGAAGGGAGAGGGAUGCCGGGAGGAAGACACACAAACACAGGAAAGCAAAACCCGAGAGAACACGCAAGACAUCGAGGGCUGUGAGACUGUAUGCCAGUGAAAGAACAACCUAGAACCCUUCCAUGUGCAGCAGCUCAUAGUUUAGGAAACACUAGUGUGUCCAUGGCUUUCUAAAAAUCCCAGAGAUGGGUGAAGGGAGACUGAGGGAACACCGAUGUGUCUGCCCUAGCCAGCAUCGUGUUUUCCAGAACAUAUAACAGUGGAGGAGAAGGAAAGAAAGUUUCUCCCCUUCUAACAAGGGACAGUAUCUACACAUAUGCCAACAAGAUUACGUACUUUUUCUUGAGCAACUACUAUGGACUAAAGCCUUUUCCAGAAGUUUAUGUAUUCCAUCUGUAUAGCAAUCCUGGGAGGGAGGUAUGCUUCUCCUCAUUCCACCCAAGAAAAGACAGGCUCAGAGCUAGAGUUGAAGCGCAACGCUCCUGCCUCCUAUGCCAGCAACUACGACAUCCUCAGUCCUGUGGGACUGCACUUCUGUGUCAGUGUAAAUCCCAUCCUGACCGCUUGUAACUUCAGUGAAAAGUUUCCAGGGCCCACAGUGGUAGGGCUAGGUGUGGGCUGUGUGCCAACACAGUGGGCAAAUAGGAGUGCGGUCUGUGAGGAGUCCCACAGGCUGUGCCCAGGCUUGCAGAGAAGGGGCCCAUUCACAAACAGUCUCAGCAUCAACACCUUUUGGAAGAGGCUGCUAGGAGAGUUAAUCACUGGCGACGACACAUCGCACAGAAAUAAAUAAAAAUAUUUGAAAAAAAAAAAAAAAGAAGUUGACCAUCAAACCAGCCUCUUCUGCCUCUCGGUGCACAAUUCCCAGAAACGGCAUGCCUGCUUCUCUCAGCAAAGGGCAAAGAUUAUUUUUGAACUAAAUGUUAACUUGAUCGUGGCUGUUCGAGGAUUACCCACUUGUAUCAAAGACUUAGAUUUCCAAAGCGUGUAAUUUUUUUGAUAAGGUUCCUGGUAUGCUGGGAGUACUGUGUUUUGGUUCUUGUUUUUAAAUAAAAUGCUAU